RNAcentral lists this transfer RNA (71 nucleotides) under Marmota monax (woodchuck). RNAcentral's name for it is "tRNA.Ala". Lineage: Eukaryota; Metazoa; Chordata; Mammalia; Rodentia; Sciuridae. The record is from RNAcentral.
GGGGUUGCAGCUCAGUGGUAGAUCACUUGCCUUGCAUGUGGGAGGCACUGGGUUCGAAUCCCAGUACCACA